This 27-nucleotide small RNA is filed under the name Bombyx mori (domestic silkworm). Its description in RNAcentral is "ovarian small RNA-23071". Lineage: Eukaryota; Metazoa; Arthropoda; Insecta; Lepidoptera; Bombycidae. The record is from RNAcentral.
UAGUGGCUUGUGGUCCGUAUAAAUUGU